AGGUGUGUGGAUGGGUAGGGGAGCGUCGUGUGGCCAUGGAAGCGGCAGGGUGACCUAGCCGUGGAGGCCACACGAGUGAGAAUGCAGGCAUGAGUAGCGAAAGACGAGUGAGAAACUCGUCCGCCGAAUGACCAAGGGUUCCUGGGCCAGGUUAAUCCGCCCAGGGUGAGUCGGGACCUAAGACGAGGCCGACAGGCGUAGCCGAUGGACAACGGGUUGAUAUUCCCGUACCCGUGUGAACGCGCCCAUGGUGAAUCAGUGAUACUAACCGUCCUGAAGCCACGAGAAGACCUUCGGGUCUCGAGUUGGUGGAUGCACGGGACCUGAUCUGGUAGUAGCCAAGCGAUGGGGUGACGCAGGAAGGUAGCUGGGCCGGUCAGUGGUAAUACCGGUGUAAGCGUGUAGGGCGUGACCUAGGCAAAUCCGGGUCGCAUAUAAGCCUGAGACGUGAUGCGUAGCCGAUUGAGGCGAAUUCAGUGAUCCUAUGCUGCCGAGAAAAGCCUCUAGCGAGCUUUCACACGGCCCGUACCCCAAACCGACACAGGUGGUCAGGUAGAGAAUACUAAGGCGAUCGAGAUAACUAUGGUUAAGGAACUCGGCAAAAUGCCCCCGUAACUUCGGGAGAAGGGGGGCCCUGUCUGGUGACGACAUUUACUGUCUGAGCUGGGUGGGGCCGCAGAGACCAGUGAGAAGCGACUGUUUACUAAAAACACAGGUCCGUGCGAAGUCGUAAGACGAUGUAUACGGACUGACGCCUGCCCGGUGCUGGAAGGUUAAGAGGACCGGUUAGUUCCUUCGGGAGCGAAGCUGAGAAUUUAAGCCCCAGUAAACGGCGGUGGUAACUAUAACCAUCCUAAGGUAGCGAAAUUCCUUGUCGGGUAAGUUCCGACCUGCACGAAUGGCGUAACGACUUCUCAGCUGUCUCAACCGUAGACUCGGCGAAAUUGCAUUACGAGUAAAGAUGCUCGUUACGCGCGGCAGGACGAAAAGACCCCGGGACCUUCACUACAGCUUGGUAUUGGUGUUCGGUUCGGUUUGUGUAGGAUAGGUGGGAGACUGUGAAACGGUGACGCCAGUUAUCGUGGAGUCGUUGUUGAAAUACCACUCUGAUCGAAUUGGACCUCUAACCUCGGACCAUGAUCUGGUUCAGGGACAGUGCCUGGUGGGUAGUUUAACUGGGGCGGUUGCCUCCCAAAAUGUAACGGAGGCGCCCAAAGGUUCCCUCAGCCUGGUUGGCAAUCAGGUGUCGAGUGCAAGUGCACAAGGGAGCUUGACUGUGAGACUGACAGGUCGAGCAGGGACGAAAGUCGGGACUAGUGAUCCGGCACCGGCAAGUGGAAGCGGUGUCGCUCAACGGAUAAAAGGUACCCCGGGGAUAACAGGCUGAUCUUCCCCAAGAGUCCAUAUCGACGGGAUGGUUUGGCACCUCGAUGUCGGCUCGUCGCAUCCUGGGGCUGGAGUAGGUCCCAAGGGUUGGGCUGUUCGCCCAUUAAAGCGGCACGCGAGCUGGGUUUAGAACGUCGUGAGACAGUUCGGUCUCUAUCCGCCGCGCGCGUAAGAAACUUGAGGAAGGCUGUCCCUAGUACGAGAGGACCGGGACGGACGAACCUCUGGUGUGCCAGUUGUUCCGCCAGGAGCACCGCUGGUUAGCUACGUUCGGAAGGGAUAACCGCUGAAAGCAUCUAAGCGGGAAGCCUGUUCCAAGAUGAGGUUUCUCACCCCCUCGAGGGGGUAAGGCCCCCGGCAGACCACCGGGUUGAUAGGCCAGAACUGGAAGUACAGUAAUGUAUGCAGGUGACUGGUACUAAUAGGCCGAGGACUUACCACA
This 1828-nucleotide ribosomal RNA is filed under the name Rhodococcus globerulus NBRC 14531. RNAcentral's name for it is "bacterial LSU rRNA". It matches the Rfam family "Bacterial large subunit ribosomal RNA", at positions 1214 to 2925 of the family's 2925-position model. The record is from RNAcentral. Lineage: Bacteria; Bacillati; Actinomycetota; Actinomycetes; Mycobacteriales; Nocardiaceae.